AUGGUAAACAGAGAUGCUAAUGAGAAUAACAGAGAUGCUAAGAGGCAGCCUUUUGGGGUUAAGGAUAUAAACAACAACAUGGCUUAUGAGUCCGAAGAGAGCCCGAGUGGCGUCUUUUGGUUCUUGAAGCCCUGCACUUUCCUGGUGGAGUAG
This 153-nucleotide ribosomal RNA is filed under the name Triticum aestivum (bread wheat). RNAcentral's name for it is "partial small subunit ribosomal RNA". Lineage: Eukaryota; Viridiplantae; Streptophyta; Magnoliopsida; Poales; Poaceae. The record is from RNAcentral.